Molecule: long non-coding RNA, 2978 nt
Organism: Cyprinus carpio carpio
Lineage: Eukaryota; Metazoa; Chordata; Actinopteri; Cypriniformes; Cyprinidae
Source: Ensembl
CUAGACAUUAAUUUGUCUUUGUUGGCUGCAUGUUAAUUUUCUUUUUUACAGUUUUGAUUUACAAGUAAAGGAAUAACAGUAUCUUUAAAUUUCACUGCUUUUUAAAACGAUAUAGAUAUUUUACAGAAUGUAUUUAUUGUAUUUUCAUAAAUGUGUUUUUUGUUAGUUAGAUAUUUUUUAAUUAUCACAAAAGUGGAGUGUGACCUUUUAACAGCUCAUGCUGAGGAAGUUAAAUCACAAUUUUCUGUGUGUCCCAGGCUAUACAAGCAUUUGAGAGGCUGGCCUGGGGCGAGCGACAGUGAGUGAGUGGACCUAAGUUCUGAGACACAUAUUGAAAAGUGUCCCUGCAAAAUAUUUAGGUCAAAUGACUAAAUAUAAAAACUCUGGCAAUGAAUUACAUUCUUUAUCUAAAAAUAACAUGGCAGAAUGCCACACAAAGGCCACUGAGCUCAAGGUAAAUGUUUGAUGUCUUUAAAUGUCUUUUUACAUGAUUUAUUUUUUUCAUGAAAAAUACGAACUAUAAAAUUGAAACUAAAAGCAGUAUUUUGAAGAAAAUAAACUCUAUUACUUCAGUCGUAACAUAGGAAAAUGGCAAUAAGUUUAUUUUAUAUUCCUUUCUACAGGUUGAGUAACAGCACAUGCAGCUGAUUUCUGAAAAGAUGGAAUAUAGUUGGAAAUGUACAGUAGGGAAUCUGUUCCCUAUCAUAUUUAAAUAACAGUAGAUGCCAUUAUUAAAACAAUUAUUUGAUCCUUCUCCUAUUUUUUUAUUUAUUUGUUUGUUUAUUUAUUGUAUUUUUAUCAUUGUCAAUUAGACCCUGAACAACAGGGUUUUACAGCACAGGCCUACUGUUAGAGUGUGUCUUCAUGUGCUUGAUUAGGUUGUAAUAGUGGCAGGCCUAACGGCAGUCAGCAGACAGUUAAUCCCAGACCGUAAUGCCACGUGUAUUUCAUUUGCACUGUAAAGGAUUUGUGCGGAUCAGACGCUUGAUGUGUCACCACCUGAUAUUUACUUUCCUGACUACAGCCAUCUCAGAACUGGGAAAUUAAUUCCACUGCACACAAGAGGGAAUCCCCUUCAUCUCUUCUCCACUUCCCGGUCCUCUUGUACUUCUGUGCUAGUUCAGUCAGAAGCCAAAGAAAUGUCAGGGAAUGGUCGAUAUAAACCUUUAUUGAAAAGAACUUGCAGAUUUUUAGAGACAGACUUUGAGAGCAACCUGAGGUUAAGUGUAAUGUUUAGAAAUGUUUAAUGUAUUGCCCUGGCCAAGGUUCAAAUCUCAGCCCAGAUGCAUAAGCACAACACAUUCACCCUCAGAAAAUCUGAAUUGUUAAGUGCAAUUCUGAUGCAAGUUUACACAUUCUUUAUGCUUGUAUUUCUUUAUUCAGCACAUGUUGCUGAUUUUGUGUUCAGUAACCACCAGAAAUGCUGAAAUGUACUUCAAACAUUGCUAAAAGCUAUUUUAUUUUGGUGUUGAGAAUUCCCACAUUUUCAGUUGUCCAGAAUCACUUUUGAAACAUCUGGCUUUUGUAUUAGAUGUGAAGGGACAUCUCUUGUACACAAUGACAUGCUUGUCACUGUUGAAGUUUGAUAGGACCAGGCAGUGUUCACGGUACUAGAAGGGGUCCCUCUGUAAUGUAAUGUAGUUCUGUGGAAAAACGUACAAUACUGCCAUCUGCUGACGUGAAUUGGAACCAAAUUUAUGAAAGCGUUUCAUGAAGGGUCAAAAUGUGCCAGUUUACCCGAUAUAUAUAAUAAAUGUAUAAUAAUACAUUUCAAGUAUUUGCAAUACACAAUGCAACACUUUUUCUUCACUUUUCUAGGGCAGCUUAAUUUAUUGUUGGAAUAUGAAUUUGACCAAGCAUCUACAGUCACACAUCCUGCACCUCACUCCUAACACAUGUCCACCAUUUGUAAUGCAUUAUGAUUUAUGUUUCGCUCUACUGAUUGUAUUGGAUAAUGUCUGACUGCAUCUCAACUAUCUUUAUAUGCAAGAGAGAAUGAUGAGCAUUUAAAAAGCUAGAAAAGAUGGGAUGUCUUUUUUUCCUAGAUUAGAGACUUUGUCUUGUCAAAUGAUGUGUAUAAUCUAUAUGUAUGUUAUGCUGGUAAUUUGAUUAAAUAAUUAUCCAUUUUUAAUAAUUGAAAAAAAUAAAAAAAAUAAAAUCCUAGUCAAUAAAAAUAAUAAUUAUUAUUAUAAACACAGUAGGCAGUUAACUUUGUUUCCACUGAUGAGGAUACUAAUAACAGCAAGCAGCACCACUGCUGAGUCAGAGCAUUAGGCAGCUGUAUACAUCAGAACACACAACAGCUUAGACCAGUUAACUUUAACCAAACACCCUGUGCUAAAUAUCUUUGAAAGCUGCACACACACUGGUAUCUCAAGUUCAGGAAACUUUGCCAUGAAGCAGCAUUGCAUUCUAUGGCACACCAGGAUGCAUCCUUUAUUCAUUUAACAUACAGUUGGACAGCUCAUGUUUGCUCUUGACUUUGAAGGGAAGAUGAUGUGAUAGGUUAAACAGUAACAGUAUAACCAGAACACAAUAUUUGAAUAAGUAUGAUGUUUUUUUUUGUGUGUGUGUGUGUAAGAAAUUCAGAGAAUAUAAAUUGGUAAAUGGAUGGGUAAACUUGUAUCACUUAUGUGCUUUCACACACAUUUACAUGUAUGGUCAAUCCUAAUUGCUGAUAUAAAUAGAUGAGGGGGUAGGAUAAGCUGUCUCAGAUGACUCCUUCCUCAUAGGUCCAGACCGAGUGGAAGUGAAUGAGGUCAGGGAGACAGCAAAGGGAGAAGGAUUUAUUUGGAGAAAACAUGCUGAUCAGUUUUAUAACUGAAAUCACAAAUGAAGAUCAGUGUUUUUUUGUAUUUGCUUGUAUGUACACUAAAUGUAUAACUGGAAACAACUUAUUCUAUUGUAUAAAGAUACUUAACAUGCUGGUAUAAAUAGUUAAUUAGAUUGGUCAAAUGCUAAAGAAUGUCAGUAAAAUG